Molecule: non-coding RNA, 609 nt
Organism: Cinara cedri
Lineage: Eukaryota; Metazoa; Arthropoda; Insecta; Hemiptera; Aphididae
Source: the annotation of a GenBank genome assembly
CUUGAAAAUCGAACCAAUAAUUCUGAUAAAAAAAAAAGUUAUUGACAGACAUACCAAAUUAGCGCACAUAGGAAAACCAAUGCCGACGUUUUUCGCUGCGCUCAGAAUCAAACACCGAAGCGCGUCUUCGUUCGUAUACUGUUGUUUUUAUGAACUUUCAAAAGAACACGACGGGAAUCGCGGAAAAUAAAUUCGGUCGGGACUACCGCCGGACGGAGGUUUCGCAUUUUUCACGAUAGACACCGCCGGAAAAAAUCGGAACACGUUGCAAUACUGUUCGACAAUAGCUCUUUUUUUCGCUUUUUCGCCACACGAUUCAUCCAAAAUGUCUGCAGCCCGAUCGCGAUCCCGACGUAGUUGUAGGCACGCCACACGUUAUUAUUGCGUAGACCGGUGCCCCGGCCGUGCUAAUAAUUCGUAUGUCCGGCGCGCAAUUAUAACGCGCGGUAACCGCGGUAACCGCGGGUAAUAGUAGCGCGUGGCGUACCCGUGCCCCUAUCCCAUACAAAGUCGGUCACGAACCGUACGGCGACUGCAAUAAUAUUACGGCCGAAGCAUCGCGUUUAACGGCCACGAUACGACCAAUAAUAUCGGACGGUCGCAGUGCGC